AUGAUUACAAGCGUAAUGGGAAUUUACUAGAUUGUACCUGCUAUUAGUAACUUUAUGGUCUCCUAAAUGGAUCAUCUAAGCUACUUUUUUGAAUUGCUAGCCUUGGUUGGGAGGAUAGCAAAGUGGUUGAUUGUGUUAUCUGAAUUUUUCUAGUCUAUUCCACUCAUAAGAUCAUCACGAGACGAGCAUCGGUAGAAUUUCUAUAUGGAAACCCGAUAGAAAUAGAGAAAAUAGAGGUAGGAUUCCCUAAUGAAG
Molecule: long non-coding RNA, 255 nt
Filed under: Manihot esculenta (cassava)
Lineage: Eukaryota; Viridiplantae; Streptophyta; Magnoliopsida; Malpighiales; Euphorbiaceae
Description: long non-coding RNA (MESC_LNC001759)
Source: RNAcentral